CCUACGGGUGGCUGCAGUGGGGAAUAUUGGACAAUGGGCGAAAGCCUGAUCCAGCCAUGCCGCGUGUGUGAAGAAGGCCUUCGGGUUGUAAAGCACUUUCAGUGGGGAAGAAAGCCUUGGGGCUAAUACCCUCGAGGAAGUACAUCACCCACAGAAGAAGCACCGGCUAACUCCGUGCCAGCAGCCGCGGUAAUACGGAGGGUGCGAGCGUUAAUCGGAAUUACUGGGCGUAAAGCGCGCGUAGGCGGUCUGAUAAGCCGGUUGUGAAAGCCCCGGGCUCAACCUGGGAACGGCAUCCGGAACUGUCAGGCUAGAGUGCAGGAGAGGAAGGUAGAAUUCCCGGUGUAGCGGUGAAAUGCGUAGAGAUCGGGAGGAAUACCAGUGGCGAAGGCGGCCUUCUGGACUGACACUGACGCUGAGGUGCGAAAGCGUGGGUAGCAAACAGGAUUAGAUACCCGAGUAGUC
This 465-nucleotide ribosomal RNA is filed under the name Vreelandella stevensii. RNAcentral's name for it is "partial 16S ribosomal RNA". It matches the Rfam family "Bacterial small subunit ribosomal RNA", at positions 338 to 795 of the family's 1533-position model. The record is from RNAcentral. Lineage: Bacteria; Pseudomonadati; Pseudomonadota; Gammaproteobacteria; Oceanospirillales; Halomonadaceae.